Molecule: ribosomal RNA, 492 nt
Filed under: uncultured bacterium
Lineage: Bacteria
Description: partial 16S ribosomal RNA
Rfam family: Bacterial small subunit ribosomal RNA
Source: RNAcentral
AGUGAACGCUGGCGGUAGGCCUAACACAUGCAAGUCGAACGGCAGCACAGUAAGAGCUUGCUCUUACGGGUGGCGAGUGGCGGAUGGGUGAGGCAUACAUCGGAAUCUACUUUUUCGUGGGGGAUAACGUAGGGAAACUUACGCUAAUACCGCAUACGACCUACGGGUGAAAGCAGGGGAUCUUCGGACCUUGCGCGAUUGAAUGAGCCGAUGUCGGAUUAGCUAGUUGGCGGGGUAAAGGCCCACCAAGGCGACGAUCCGUAGCUGGUCUGAGAGGAUGAUCAGCCACACUGGAACUGAGCCACGGUCCAGACUCCUACGGGAGGCAGCAGUGGGGAAUAUUGGACAAUGGGCGCAAGCCUGAUCCAGCCAUACCGCGUGGGUGACGAAGGUCUUCGGGUUGUAAAGCCCUUUUGUUGGGAAAGAAAAGCAGCAGGUUAAUACCCCGCUGUUCUGACGGUACCCAAAGAAUAAGCACCGGCUAACUUCGUG